This 481-nucleotide ribosomal RNA is filed under the name uncultured bacterium. RNAcentral describes it as "partial 16S ribosomal RNA". It matches the Rfam family "Bacterial small subunit ribosomal RNA", at positions 28 to 523 of the family's 1533-position model. The record is from RNAcentral.
GACGAACGCUGGCGGCGUGCUUAACACAUGCAAGUCGAGCGAUGAAUUUUCUUCGGAAAUGGAUUAGCGGCGAACGGGUGAGGAACACGUGAAGAAUCUGCCCUCCACUUUGGGAUAACACAGGGAAACCUGUGCUAAUACCGAAUAUUGAAACAUAAGUGGCAUCACUGAGUUUUGAAAGAAUUUCGGUGGAGGAUGACUUCGCGGCCUAUCAGCUAGUUGGUGAGGUAAUGGCUCACCAAGGCAACGACGGGUAGCCGGCCUGAGAGGGCGACCGGCCACACUGGGACUGAGACACGGCCCAGACGCCUACGGGAGGCAGCAGUGGGGAAUAUUGGGCAAUGGAGGAAACUCUGACCCAGCGACGCCGCGCGCGGGAUGAAGGCCUUCGGGUUGUAAACCGCUUUCAGUAGGGAAGAAGCGAAAGUGACGGUACCUACAAAAGAAGCACCGGCUAACUAUGUGCCAGCCGCCGCCGUAA